UGACUGUUUAUGGUUAGGCACGAGGGCAAC
This 30-nucleotide non-coding RNA is filed under the name Rattus norvegicus (Norway rat). The record is from RNAcentral. Lineage: Eukaryota; Metazoa; Chordata; Mammalia; Rodentia; Muridae.